AUACGGAGGGGGCUAGCGUUGUUCGGAAUUACUGGGCGUAAAGCGCGCGUAGGCGGUUUAUCAAGUCAGGCGUGAAAGCCCUGGGCUCAACCCAGGAACUGCGUUUGAUACUGGUUGACUAGAGGCCGGGAGAGGGUAGUGGAAUUCCCAGUGUAGAGGUGAAAUUCGUAGAUAUUGGGAAGAACACCGGUGGCGAAGGCGGCUACCUGGACCGGACCUGACGCUGAGGUGCGAAAGCGUGGGGAGCAAACAGGAUUAGAUACCCCAGUAGUCC
RNAcentral lists this ribosomal RNA (274 nucleotides) under uncultured bacterium. RNAcentral describes it as "partial 16S ribosomal RNA". It matches the Rfam family "Bacterial small subunit ribosomal RNA", at positions 523 to 796 of the family's 1533-position model. The record is from RNAcentral.